RNAcentral lists this ribosomal RNA (254 nucleotides) under uncultured bacterium. RNAcentral describes it as "partial 16S ribosomal RNA". It matches the Rfam family "Bacterial small subunit ribosomal RNA", at positions 524 to 776 of the family's 1533-position model. The record is from RNAcentral.
UACAGAGGUGCCGAGCGUUAGGCGGAAUCACUGGGCUUAAAGCGCGUGUAGGCGGGUCGUUAAGUGUCCGCGUGAAAUCCCACGGCUCAACCGUGGAACUGCCGGGCAUACUGGCGAUCUUGAGGCACCCAGGGGCGAGCGGAACAAAUGGUGGAGCGGUGAAAUGCGUAGAUAUCAUUUGGAACGCCGACGGUGAAAACAGCUCGCUGGGGGUGUCCUGACGCUGAGACGCGAAAGCCAGGGGAGCGAACGGG